Molecule: non-coding RNA, 3403 nt
Organism: Peromyscus maniculatus bairdii (prairie deer mouse)
Lineage: Eukaryota; Metazoa; Chordata; Mammalia; Rodentia; Cricetidae
Source: RefSeq, a predicted model, not a curated record
CCAUCAACAGAGUGUGGUCAACUUACCUGAGGCCACACUGUUAAAGAAAACCAAAUUUUCCUUUUCUAGGCUUAGGGAUCAUAUUGGAAGAGGAGGCAGAAAGAUUGAAAGAGCCAGGAGUGAUGGAUGACUACAAUCAAGCAGUGUUUCUAGACACAACAGGGCAGUUACACUAUGAAGGUGUGAGUGCAUGAGUACAGACACCCCCAGAUACCAGAAGAGGACAAUGGAUUCCUUGGAGAUGAAGUUACAGCAUGUUGGUCCUGUCAUGGGUCUGCCAUAAUAUGAUGCCCAGCCUAGCCUGCUACAGGGAUGUGAGACAUAGAAGAGCCAGGCUGUUGAAGUUAAGGUUACCCUAGAUCAGCCGUGCCAUGGCUGGCCAGAGUGACAAUCUCCCUGUUUCAGCCUCCUCUUCUGGGAUUAGGUGUGCUAGAAUAGCCAGCAAGUCAGAAAACUGAAUCUGCAAAGAGAAGAUGGAGGGACUGAGCAGAUCAGUGGUUAGCAUCAAUUAUGACCUCUGUGGGUCACCUUGGGACCCAGAAAAUUGCCAUGGCUGCUGAGAAUUAGAAGUCUUGCUUUUAUAACAGAGUCUGAAGGAGGUCUUCCAAAGCAGAAGGUGUGGUGAGUCCAUGCUCAGAGAACAGCAGGCUACUUCAGUUCUGCAUAAUUCACUGGGUUCUUCAUUUUCAAAUAUGUUUUUCCUUGAGAAUUCAGCUAUUAAGUCCCCACUGGUUUAGAUAGAUAUGAAACAUUGAACAUCCAUUUGCUUUUGAGCCCUCAGUGAAUAGCCAAGAGGAUGUUCCUUUAGAAAAUAUAUAUUUUAUUCUGUCCAUUGCAUCUAAAUGAAUCAGCAGCAAAGCUGUGUUUAUUCAAAUCCAUAUGCAAAUAUUGACUUAUGCCUUGCAAUGAAGUAAGCUUCAUAGCUUUUAGAAGAAAAACAUAACACAGAUAAACAUUUAUAAGCAAUUCAAAUAUUAAAGAACUUGAGCAUUUCUAAAGGCGUUCAUAUAUGAGGCCUUUUUCUUUCUAGGAUGUCAUUAUGGUUCUAUAGUUAUUUACAAAAUAUAGUUACUGAACUUCCUAGCUUUUAUAUUUGAAAGUAUGUGUUUAUUUCUGACAGCAAUAAAGCCAAUAUAUUAUGCAUUCAUACCAUCCCUUAUAAAAGUCCUUGGGGAGAGAUACACAGCUCACUGUUCCCUUUUAAGGUGAUGUCAUAGUGAAAUGGGACAGUUAAUUUAAAAAACUGUCACAGGUGUAGCUAACUCUUUCCAGUAAUCAUGGCUGAGGGGUGUUUUAAAUGCUGAUUCUGAUGUUAAGAGGCAAUAACUUUGCAGAAAAAUAUCUCCUUUCAGCUUUCUUGCAUCUAACAUUUGUUCCUCUAAUAUAGCUGUUAUUAAAAUGCUAUAGAACCUGAUUAGAGUACAUGCUACUGUGGUAUCCUGUCUCCUUUUUCUUUUUUUUUUCAUUCAGUUAUAUUAAAAUGUCAUUUUAACUUGCUCUAAGCCCUGAAAAAAAUUCCCCAAACCGACAAAUUAAAGAUGGAAACUAGAGAUGUAAGAAAUGUUCCAAAGAUCAGUUACUACCCCCCAUUACCUUCUACCACCCAUGAGGAAAGCCCUUCAUAAUAUGUCUUACAAAAUAACAAAUAGCACAUCUAUGAAUUGUUAAUCACAUAAGUCAAAAGUGCACACCCAACUUCAUCUGAAAGUCUAAAAUCAUCUCUUCUAUUAAAAAAGGAAAACAUGGUAUUGAAAUAAAUGAUGUUUGAGGAAGAUUUUAUUAUCUUGUUAUAGGAAAAACAAACAGAGAGUAGGUGACCAUGAAAUCGACAAAUUAACAAACAGGUUUCAGUUUAGUUGACAAUCCUUGUAACGAACUUAUUUUUGAAAGGUGUUGGCUAAAUUCUAUUUAAGAUGCACAAUUCUAUGUGAUGGAGGGAACUCUCAAGGAAAUUGUGAUCUUCAAGUUGAGUUAUGACAUGCACAUGAAUAUCAGCAGGACACUACCAUCAAGUGCUACUGAUUCGAAGGAAGCACACACAAGAGCUGUGGAGCUGGGAAGAGUUGAACAUGCUUGGUAACAAUUACAUCAUCCAUUCUGUACCCCAGAGAAAAGGUUCAUAAAAAGAAACAGUAUGGAAUAAAUUAGGAAAUAAGAGUCUAGAGUCUCUGAGUUUUCUAUGAAAAAUCUUGUCAAUUGUAUACAAUAAGCAUUUAUUAAGAAUGAGGUGGACAGCAGUGAGGGUGGAUGGGGUGGCAGUGUUCCUGGGGUCUGAAGCAGAGUAGAAUAACCAAAUGGUUAGAGUAAUCAUUGCAAUUGCAUAGGAUGUUGUUUUGAUGUUCUCUGCUUUAUUCUUUGGAUACACAUAUUGCUAGCUCCUCUGUGUUAUCUACUGUAUCUUUUGAGAAAUUUAUGAGAAGUCUCCUUUGCCUGGGAGGAAAAGGGGUGAGUAUGAGAUAUUUCUUACACCAUCUUUCUUACCACAGGCUCAGUUUAUUAAAGCUCAUGUUGGUGAACUGCACAGCUCUAUUUGAGUUUAAAGAGGCUAACUUCUCCUUUCUCUUGCCCUCUCAGACUGGUAGUGGAAAUAUGUUACCAAAAACCCCACAUUCCUACGGUUCCAUUACUUAACUCCUUGUCUUGCCUGUUGUCAAAUAUGCCUUUGAUUGGUACAGCUUUGAUGCCGUAUUAGUUUUAUGUGGCUGUGUCUUAGUUAGCUUUGUCAACUUGACACAGCCCAGAAUAACCUGAGAUGGGAGUCUCAAUUGAGGUAUUGCCCAAUGCCUUCUCUGUGGGAGACUGUCUUGAUUAUUAACUGAUGUAGGAGGGUCUGGCCCACUGUGAUCAGAACCAUUACUAGGGAGGUAGUCUUGGGCUGUAUAAGAAAGCUAGUUAAGUGUGAGCCUAUGAGCAAGACAACAGGUGGCAUCCCUCUGUGGUUUCUUCUUGAGCUUCUUCCCUGAUUCCCCUCAAUGACAGUCUGUGAUUUGGAAGUGCAAGCUAAAUAAGAGUGUUUUAUCACAGCAAGAGGAAGCCAGAACAGGACAUUACAAAAUUUCACUGUGAAACUGAUUGCUUAAAACAUCAUGCAUUCCACUAGAUUGGUUUGGUUCUCAUCCUCUAUCCCUUACCCUCCAUUGCCCACGCCUCAUCCUCACAUUACUCAUGGAGAUCUCAUCUAUUUCUCCUUCCCAGGGUGAUCCAUGCAUCCCUCUUUAGGCCCUCUGCAUAGGUGAGACAGUUGUGUAGCUUGAUCUGCUUAAGGGGCCCUGUGGUCCUGGUUCAUGAGGAGACUUUUUGGAGCCCACUACCUAUGGUGGAACACCUCAUCCAGCCUUGAGGCAGGGAGAUGGGCUUGGACCUGCCUUUAAUGAAUGAACCAGGCUAGACUGACUCCUCAUGG